AAUGAACGCUGGCGGCAGGCCUAACACAUGCAAGUCGAACGAGGCAGCAAUGCCUAGUGGCGGACGGGUGAGUAACGCGUGGGAACGUGCCCCUUGGUACGGAAUAGCCCUGGGAAACUGGGAGUAAUACCGUAUGUGGUCGAGAGACGAAAGAUUUAUCGCCAAGGGAUCGGCCCGCGUUGGAUUAGGUAGUUGGUGGGGUAAUGGCCUACCAAGCCGACGAUCCAUAGCUGGUUUGAGAGGAUGAUCAGCCACAGUGGGACGGAGACACGGCCCAUACUCCUACGGGAGGCAGCAGUGGGGAAUCUUAGAAAAUGGGGGAAACCCUGAUCUAGCCAUGCCGCGUGAUCAAGGAAGGCCUUAGGGUUGUAAAGAUCUUUCGGUGGGGAAGAUAAUGACGGUCCCCACAGAAGAAGCCCCGGCUAACUCCGUGCCAGCCGCCGCAGUAA
RNAcentral lists this ribosomal RNA (449 nucleotides) under uncultured bacterium. RNAcentral describes it as "partial 16S ribosomal RNA". It matches the Rfam family "Bacterial small subunit ribosomal RNA", at positions 29 to 523 of the family's 1533-position model. The record is from RNAcentral.